GUCCACGCUGUAAACGAUGUGCACUAGGCGUUGGGGGCUUUCAGCCCUCGGUGCCGUAGCUAACGCGUUAAGUGCACCGCCUGGGGAGUAUGCUCGCAAGGGUGAAACUCAAAGGAAUUGACGGGGGCCCGCACAAGCGGUGGAGCAUGUGGUUUAAUUCGAUGGUACGCGAGGAACCUUACCAGGGUUUGACAUGUGCACGGAUGUCUCAGCGAUGAGGCAGCCUCUUUUGGGGCGUGCACACAGGUGCUGCAUGGCUGUCGU
RNAcentral lists this ribosomal RNA (264 nucleotides) under uncultured bacterium. RNAcentral's name for it is "partial 16S ribosomal RNA". It matches the Rfam family "Bacterial small subunit ribosomal RNA", at positions 793 to 1055 of the family's 1533-position model. The record is from RNAcentral.